Molecule: long non-coding RNA, 146 nt
Organism: Solenopsis invicta (red fire ant)
Lineage: Eukaryota; Metazoa; Arthropoda; Insecta; Hymenoptera; Formicidae
Exons: 3
Source: RefSeq, a predicted model, not a curated record
UACAGUUCUGUUUUAUUAGAUGCAUUAUCAGCAUCUACAGAAAUAUAUGUAGAUGGAACAUUUUCUGUAGUUCCACAAUUUCCACUUAUUUCACAAUUAUAUACUAUACAUAUUCGUUACAUGGAAACAAGCAUUGCUGCAGUGUA